This 907-nucleotide long non-coding RNA is filed under the name Homo sapiens (human). Its description in RNAcentral is "family with sequence similarity 106 member A". The record is from RNAcentral. Lineage: Eukaryota; Metazoa; Chordata; Mammalia; Primates; Hominidae.
CAUUUAGUUGUCAUGACUCUUUCAGUCUGGAACAGUUCCUCAGUUUUUCUUUGACCUUUAUGACCUUAAAUCUUUUGAAGAGUAAAGUCCAAUAAUACAGAAUGUCCCUCCAUUGGAUUUCUCUGAACUUUUUUUAUGAUAAGAUUUAGAUGAUAAUUUUUUUUUUGGCAAGAGUAUCACAGAAGUUAUCCCAUGAUCUUCUCACUGCAUUCUAUCAGGUGACCUGCAAUUAUUAUUAUUUUUUAUUUUCAUCUUUUAAGUUCAGGGGUACAUGUGCAGGAUGUGCAGGAUGUCCAGGUUUGUUACAUAGCUUGCCAUUCUGUGUCUUUCAUUGGAAAACACAUUGAGAUUUAAGAAAGAUCAUCUUCAAGCUCUGAGAUUCUUUUCUUGGCCUAUUCUGCUGUUAAUAAUUGUGAUUUCAUUGUGAAGUUCACUCAGCUCUAACAGUGCUGGGAUUACAAGCGUGAGCUACCACACCCAGCGAGGAAGCCAAGUUUAACGUGUGUGCUCCACUCCUCCAACCUGGCCAAAGGGCAGUCAUCAUCACUGGCCACUGCUGACCACAGCCUUUAGAAACUCCCCUUGAACGUGCUGGGCUGACCUUCCUCUGAUCACAGGCAAGGUUGUAGAUGAGCAUGAGAGUGUGGAGCAGAGUUGGCGAGUGCAAGUCGAGCCCAUCAACCUGGACAGCUGUCUCCGUGCUUUCACCAGUGAGGAAGAGCUAGGGGAAGAUGAGAUAUACUACUGUUCCAAGUGUAAGACCCACUGCUUUAGCAACAAAGAAGCUGGAUCUCUGGAGGCUUCCACCCUUCCUGAUUAUUCACCUUAAGCGAUUUCAAUUUGUAAAUGAUCAGUGGAUAAAAUCACAGAAAAUUGUCAAAUUUCCUCGGGAAAGUUUUGAUCCGAG